Molecule: ribosomal RNA, 305 nt
Filed under: uncultured bacterium
Lineage: Bacteria
Description: bacterial SSU rRNA
Rfam family: Bacterial small subunit ribosomal RNA
Source: RNAcentral
CGCCUACGGGACGCAGCAGUGGGGAAUAUUGCACAAUGGGCGAAAGCCUGAUGCAGCAACGCCGCGUGAAGGAAGAAGGCCUUCGGGUCGUAAACUUCUGUCCUUGGGGAAGAAGAACUGACGGUACCCAAGGAGGAAGCCCCGGCUAACUACGUGCCAGCAGCCGCGGUAAUACGUAGGGGGCAAGCGUUAUCCGGAUUUACUGGGUGUAAAGGGAGCGUAGGCGGCAAGGUAAGCCAGAAGUGAAAGCCCGCGGCUCAACUGCGGGACUGCUUUUGGAACUAUCUAGCUAGAUUGUAGGAGAG